RNAcentral lists this long non-coding RNA (4511 nucleotides) under Sorghum bicolor (sorghum). RNAcentral describes it as "long non-coding RNA (SBIC_LNC003695)". The record is from RNAcentral. Lineage: Eukaryota; Viridiplantae; Streptophyta; Magnoliopsida; Poales; Poaceae.
ACGGUACUAAACCGUUUUCAUUAUAGCAUUUAUUAUGGGCCCUAAAUUAAUCAUCAAAUAUAAUUAUGGGCUAAAAGCCCAUUUAUAUUCAACAGAAUCCAGAGCGCAAAUCCAACUUAGAAAACCAAGAAGCCUGUCCCAAUUCAUCUAGUAAAUCAUCAAUAAGCGGCACUGGAUAUUUACUUUUCUGAGUAAUUGCAUUAAGCUGCCUAUAAUCAACACAAAAAAUGCCAUGACUAGUCCUUUUUCUUAACCAAAAUAACAGAAGAAGCAAAAGGACUAGAGCUUUUCUGUAUCAACCCAGAGUGAAGCAUUUCGUUGACUUGUUUCUCAAUUUCAUCCUUGACAGCAGGUGCAAAGUGGUAUGGUCGAGAAUAGAUCGGGCUGGCCCCUGGAAUCAAAGGAAUGGCAUGGUCACAAGCAUGGGACGGCGGUAACUGUGAAGGAGGUUGGAACAAAUCAUUGAAUUCCUCCACCAAGCUCUGAACCUCAGAAGGUCCCUUAGUAUCUUCUUGCUGGGAACUCAUGUGAUCAACUAAAAGAUGCAAGGACUCGCCAGGUACUUCAGGUAAGAUACCAGUCAGUUGAACCAUACCAGAUUUGUAAGGAAGCUGUAACCACUUGUGUGCCCAAUGUAUCUACAUGGGGCUAUGCUGCUCCAGCCAAUCCAAACCCAAAAUCAUAUCAUAUGAGGACAGGGGUAUGACCUUCAAAUCCUGCUGGAAUUCUAAGCCUUGCAUGGACCAAACAGUAGCUGGAAUAACCUUAGACGAAGACAGGAGUUCACCAUUUGCCACUUGAACACUGAUAGGGUUGGCCACAUCCUGAACUCCAACACAGUUAGAAGCUAAGACUAACUGACAAAGGUAUGUGUACUGCCUGAAUCCAAUAGAAUAUGAAUAGGAAUAGCACCCAAAUAGCCAUUAAAACAAAUUGUCCGUUGAGCCAAGACUCCAGAAACAGCUGCAGCAGAAAGUAACAUAUGUAAUUGAGUUGGCGUAGUGUCAUCAUCAGCCACAGGAAUGUCGGCUGGCUCAUCAGUAUCAUCUGAUUCAAAUAGUCCCAAAACUUCCUCUAGGAUAUGUAACUGAACGGCCUGAGCACACUUGUGAUCGCAGGACCACUUGGCGCCACAACGAACACACAAGCCCUGAGAACGUCGUAAGGCACAUAAGGCUUGCCAGCGAUCAUCAGCUGAUGUAGAGCGCCCAAUAUCAGGCAUCGGCUUCACCGCAGGAGCUCCCACAGACCGCUCUCAUGACGACCUGGUGGUGGAGGUAGAGGAAGCGAUGGCCACGCAAAGGGCUUGGUCCCAGACGACACAUCCCACUUGCGAACCUCCGGCUUCCUGGGCCCGAAGAGGUCCUCCUGCAAUUGAGCAAGGACACAAGCAGUAUCCCAAUUUUGGGGCUGAUGCAUAGAAACAGCUACUCUAAUAUUUUCUUGCAACCCAUCAAUAAAGCGCAUGGUAUAGAACAAAGGAUCUAUGGUAUGAUUGUAAGCACCUAACUGAUCAACAAUUGCAGAAAAUUGCUCUAUGUAAUCAGCGACUGUACCAGAUUGACGAAUUUGAAACAACUAACGCAGCAAAAGUUCAUGGUGAUCUUUACCAAAGCGCUCUAAAACCACAGAUGAAAGGGUUUCCCAACUACACCCACGAAGCUGGGACUCUACAGCAUUGUACCAGCGCUUUGCUGCCCCCACAAAAUGCAUGCGAGCUAUACGAACCCAAGCUGAGGACUCAACAUUAUACAGACUAAAAUAAUCGACACAGUCACUGAGCCAUAAUUUUGGGUGUUCACCAUCGAAUUUGGGAAAAUCGACUUUAGGAAUUUUUGUAUUGUAGGAGCCCAAAUCCCCACUAGCAGUAUGAGUAGAAACGUGCGCAAGCAUCCCAUUGGACAGAUGAACAGGAAUGAUUGGCGAUGGGGAGUUGGAGUGCUCACCCUUGAUCGGGGAAUGAAUCAGAGUUGAGACAACCCCAAAUCCAUUCUCCCGGUUCCGAUGUUCAACGUCGGGCCCCAUCACGGGUGAGUGGGCAGCCAAAGCCGCCGAAGUCGGGCGAAUCACCGCAGCAGGAGAUGUUGUCGUAGCAGGAGAUGUCGCCGCAGCAGGAGAUGGUGCGAAGAUGCCCGUCAUAUCGACAGGGUUUUCAACGCUGGCGCGCUCCUAGCCCAACGAGAGCUUCUUCACCUCCAGGCGCACGGCAUCGAUGGUGCCCUCGAUACCCGGCAGCCACUCGUCGAAGGACUGGGCGAGAUGCUCCAGGGAGGAGAAGUGGGCUUCCUGUGCCGACUCCAACUCCUGGUUUUGGCGUUUGAAGCGGGCUUCCUGAUCUGAGAAACGUUGACCCCACCUCGGAGAAGCUCUUGUGGAGCUCAUCGAGGAUGAGUUUGGUUUCAGGAUUCAUGACGCCGAGGCGAUGUUGGCGGCGGGUAAAGUGGUCGUGGGGUAGUGGAUCGGGGCGUUCCAGACUGCCGACUCUCCACAAAUCACUCUAGCGUGGAAGGGAAUUACAGCGACCCCGAAUCCGAACAGCAGCUCACUGCGCGAAUUCGAAAUCAAGCCAACCGGAUCCGUUGCUAAAGCAAUCGAUGGGAUGCGAGAAGACAGCGGAAUCGUCUGAGGAACGGUGCUGAUACCAAUUGUUAGCAGCAGGGAAUUUGGGGAAGGUAGCAAGGGGAUAGGAUGGAGAAUUGGGGAUCAGGAUCAGAAGAACAGCAGCGUGGAGAACAGGGUGGUGUGGUGAGGAAUCUUAUAUUGGCAGAGUUGUUUUGGUUCAUACAUUCGAUGCCCUUCCUCUCUUACCUGCUCCUCCUCAUAUAGGGUGAUACAUCGGCCCUGCCCAGCUUCUGUGCACGCAGGCACCUACUUCCAAUUAUUUCCUAUUACAUUCUUGUUGGGCCUCCUGUUCCUAGCACUCCUCCUGGGCCCAUUACCGUCCUUGUCUUCUGGGUUUACAGCAGUCGUAGUACCCGUGUUAACAAUAAACCGCUGGCAUUGUGUACGAGGUACUGCUGAAUUUGGUGCACGAGGUACUGGUUUCCAAAGACACAGCAAGUGUACCGACCGGCAGCAAGCAUUGGAUGAGCAGCAUGGGCCGCCGGCGGCGCUGCUCCGGCAGACGGUGCCCGGCCACGUGGAGGCAGACGAGGAGGAGGCGAGCAGGGACGUUUCCAACAGCAGCACAAGGAGCAUCGUCGUUCUCCCUCCGUUUCACAAGCAGCACAAGGAGGCGGUGUCUGUCACUCAGAUGCGUGAACUCUGACGCUGCAUUUUGUUAUCGGCGUGAAAUGCUGCAGCCUGCAGCGAGCGACGUUCAUGGAUUCAUGGACACCGGGAUUUAGAACGUGGUAGCAGGGUUCGGUUCUUGCGUUCCAGACCAUAGUCACCGGAGUUCCCGUCGUUCCCGGAACGACGGAUCGACGAACGACGAACCGGAAAGGAGAACGACGUUUUAGAUGCAGUUUUUACACCGUGGGAGCGAUUUCGUUCCCGCAUUCCCGUCCCGAAUCCCGUCCCGAACGCUCGUUCUCGGAACGUGGAACGCUACAGCGGUGACUAAGUUCCAGACUAGAAGGCGCCUGACGGCCUAUUGAGUCAUUUUUGCGUUGUGCGGUUAGCUUUGAUCGAUCGGCUCCAAUCUUGGCUCCAUCUUGGCUAUUCUAUUAUCGACAGACAGGGAUGCUCAGGCCCCUGAUGCUUCUAUGAAUUUGUCCAAUCUUCAGGCUUGACUCUUGAGAACGUUAUCUCCCGCGCAAAGAUACAGUAAAGUGCAUCUCCUACCUCCAGCAGUCUCUCUCAAGGCCUCAGGAAAAUAAAGGCCUGGAAUGGGCCCCAGACUCCAACGGGCCGUGCAGUCAAAGCGUCAACGCACAGCAUGUCCGCGUGUUUCCUGGCAUGUCUGCGUGUUAAAGCCGAGCCUGCUGCGCACUGGAAAAUAAAUAAGUGAGGCCUUGUUAAAAAAAAUUAAAAAAAAUCAGAUUUUCAGUCACAUCGAAUCUUGUAGCGCAUGUAUGAAGCAUUAAAUAUAAAUAAAAAUAAUAACUAAUUGUACAAUUUGUAUGUAAUUUGCGAGACGGAUCUUUUGAGCCUUGUUAGUUUAUAAUUGGAUAAUAUUUUUAAAAUACAAACAAAAAUGUUACGGUGUCUAUUUUGAAAAAAAAAUAGAACUAAAAAAACCCAAAGCCUAUGCUCGAUGGCACAUAUAUAUGCUCCCAGCAAUUCAAUUGUUCAAGUGUCAGCAUGAACAUAUAUGACAUCCAAGAUCUCGGUAUGCACUUUAAUCAUCAUUGCAGAUUCAUAAUUUGAUCUACAAAAAAUAAUUAUGUUUUGUUCAUCUAAAUGCAUAUCAAAUGGAAAGGAUAUAGAGAGUGAGGCAACAUCGAAAGCAGUUAGCAAUGCUCACAUAGUUGAUGAGGAGAAAAUGCGAUCAACCUCUAACAAAGAAAUCGAUACCCAAGGGGACUUGGAUGGAGACAAAGGAAGCGUCCAUGUUGUUUGCAACGCUG